CGAACGCUGGCGGCGUGCUUAACACAUGCAAGUCGAACGCGAAAGGGACUUCGGUCCUGAGUAAAGUGGCGCACGGGUGAGUAACGCGUAGAUAACCUGUCUUCAUGUCUGGAAUAAUACGCCGAAAGGGGUACUAAUACCGGAUAUCUUGCUUUUCAUAAGUUAUGCAAGCAAAGGUGGCCUCUGCAUAUGCUGCUGCAUGAAGAGGGGUCUGCGUACCAUUAGCUAGUAGGUGGGGUAAUGGCCUACCUAGGCGACGAUGGUUAGCGGGUCUGAGAGGAUGAUCCGCCACACUGGCACUGGAACACGGGCCAGACUCCUACGGGAGGCAGCAGUGAGGAAUAUUGCGCAAUGGGGGAAACCCUGACGCAGCGACGCCGCGUGAGUGAAGGAAGGCCUUCGGGUCGUAAAGCUCUGUCAAGAGGAAAGAAGUGUACAAUGGCUAAUACCUGUUGUAUUUGACGGUACCUCUAAAGGAAGCACCGGCUAACUCCGUGCCAGCAGCUGC
RNAcentral lists this ribosomal RNA (508 nucleotides) under uncultured bacterium. RNAcentral's name for it is "bacterial SSU rRNA". It matches the Rfam family "Bacterial small subunit ribosomal RNA", at positions 30 to 518 of the family's 1533-position model. The record is from RNAcentral.